AUACGGAGGGUGCGAGCGUUAAUCGGAAUCACUGGGCGUAAAGCGCGCGCAGGCGGCUUAUUAAGUCAGAUGUGAAAUCCCCGGGCUCAACCUGGGAACUGCAUCUGAUACUGGUAAGCUAGAGUUUUGGAGAGGGAAGUAGAAUUUCAGGUGUAGCGGUGAAAUGCAUAGAGAUCUGAAGGAAUACCAGUGGCGAAGGCGACUUCCUGGCCAAAAACUGACGCUGAGGUGCGAAAGCGUGGGUAGCAAACGGGAUUAGAAACCCUAGUAGUCC
This 274-nucleotide ribosomal RNA is filed under the name uncultured bacterium. RNAcentral describes it as "partial 16S ribosomal RNA". It matches the Rfam family "Bacterial small subunit ribosomal RNA", at positions 523 to 796 of the family's 1533-position model. The record is from RNAcentral.